CUGAGCCAGCCCAGGCUGGCCUUAUCUCUCUCCUCAGCCCAGUGUUUGUUUGAAGAGAAUCAAAGCAUGUUCUUUUUCUGUUUUCUUCAAAGGGAAGGAGAGAAUGAUGCUGGCCACUGCAAGAGGAGAGGGGACUUCGGUUUGCUGGUGGAGUGGUCACAUCAGAGCUUCUGCUGCAGUCUCUUUGCUUCUGGUCAAGUUCUAGCUCUGCUGCCAUCUUUCACCUCCAACACCCCUGAAGCACGGGGAACAGAGGAAGCCCCAGGUUAUCCUGUGGGUAUAACGUUGCUGCCUCGAAGGAAACUCCAUAAGGUACACAGUUGUCAACACGUUAAGCCUCCCAGUGCCUUCAUCCAAAAACUGCAAUGUCCAGAGACAGCUGCUCAUCAAAAUUCAGGACUAGACUUGAUGCUAAUCUCCCUUUAUCAUGGCCAUUGAGUCGUGGGAUGAAUACGCCAAGCCACCAGGGACACAGAGAGAGGUGAGGAGAAGAAGAAGCAGAGAUGGGGAGAGAACACAGGACGGGUCCCGAGUGACGUCAUGCUUUGUGUGCACAGACCUCCUUCCUCCAUGAACACUGAAUUUUUCAGAGAUUCCCACUAGCCUCCUUUCUGUAAAUCACUUGAUCCAGUGGCUGUAUUUUUAACUGACAAGAACCUUAAUAAAGGACACAUGUACGAUACUAUGUUUUGCUUG
This 696-nucleotide long non-coding RNA is filed under the name Mus spicilegus (steppe mouse). Its description in RNAcentral is "lncRNA (ENSMSIG00000010963.1)". Lineage: Eukaryota; Metazoa; Chordata; Mammalia; Rodentia; Muridae. The record is from RNAcentral.